Molecule: ribosomal RNA, 318 nt
Filed under: Dendrothele griseocana
Lineage: Eukaryota; Fungi; Basidiomycota; Agaricomycetes; Agaricales
Description: SSU rRNA
Rfam family: Bacterial small subunit ribosomal RNA
Source: RNAcentral
GGAAUAAUAUAAGUGAAAAUAAUGAUAUCAACUUAAGAGCAUAAAAGCUAGAAUCAUAUAUGGGAUAAUGUAAAUAAUACUUGGUUUAGGGCCGAUAUCCUCACAAAUUGAGUGGAAUACUAAUAGGUGAAAGCUUUUUAUCUACAAAUGAUUGACGCUGAGAAACGAAGGUGGGAAAAGAAAAUAGGAUUCGAUACCCAGAUAUCUCCCACUGUCAACGAUGAAUGGUGGCUGUUAAUCUUUGGUGGCGAUGUUAACGCGAUAACCAUUCCGCCUUGCGAGUACGGUUGCAAAACUGAAAUCAAAAAAAUUAGUCGG